RNAcentral lists this ribosomal RNA (305 nucleotides) under uncultured bacterium. Its description in RNAcentral is "bacterial SSU rRNA". It matches the Rfam family "Bacterial small subunit ribosomal RNA", at positions 335 to 636 of the family's 1533-position model. The record is from RNAcentral.
UCUCCUACGGGGGGCAGCAGUGAGGAAUAUUGGUCAAUGGCCGGAAGGCUGAACCAGCCAAGUCGCGUGAGGGAAUAAGGCCCUAUGGGUCGUAAACCUCUUUUGUCAGGGAGCAAAGGCGUCCACGAGUGGACGAAAGGAGAGUACCUGAAGAAAAAGCAUCGGCUAACUCCGUGCCAGCAGCCGCGGUAAUACGGAGGAUGCGAGCGUUAUCCGGAUUUAUUGGGUUUAAAGGGAGCGUAGAUGGGUUGUUAAGUCAGUUGUGAAAGUUUGCGGCUCAACCGUAAAAUUGCAAUUGAUACUGG